UACAGAGGGCCCGAGCGUUGUUCGGAUUCACUGGGCGUAAAGGGUGCGUAGGUGGUGAGGAAAGUCGGAUGUGAAAUCUCCGGGCUCAACCCGGAAAUGGCAUUGGAAACUACCUUGCUGGAGGAUUUGAGGGGGGAUUGGAAUACUUGGUGUAGCAGUGAAAUGCGUAGAUAUCAAGUGGAACACCAGUGGCGAAGGCGAAUCCCUGGAAAAUACCUGACACUGAGGCACGAAAGCUAGGGGAGCAAACAGG
RNAcentral lists this ribosomal RNA (253 nucleotides) under uncultured bacterium. RNAcentral's name for it is "partial 16S ribosomal RNA". It matches the Rfam family "Bacterial small subunit ribosomal RNA", at positions 524 to 776 of the family's 1533-position model. The record is from RNAcentral.